RNAcentral lists this ribosomal RNA (433 nucleotides) under uncultured bacterium. RNAcentral's name for it is "partial 16S ribosomal RNA". It matches the Rfam family "Bacterial small subunit ribosomal RNA", at positions 29 to 507 of the family's 1533-position model. The record is from RNAcentral.
AACGAACGCUGGCGGCAUGCCUAACACAUGCAAGUCGAACGAGACCUUCGGGUCUAGUGGCGCACGGGUGCGUAACGCGUGGGAUCCUGCCCUUAGGUUCGGAAUAACUCCCCGAAAGGGGUGCUAAUACCGGAUAAUGUCUUCGGACCAAAGAUUUAUCGCCUUUGGAUGGGCCCGCGUUGGAUUAGCUAGUUGGUAGGGUAAAAGCCUACCAAGGCGACGAUCCAUAGCUGGUCUGAGAGGAUGAUCAGCCACACUGGGACUGAGACACGGCCCAGACUCCUACGGGAGGCAGCAGUGGGGAAUAUUGGACAAUGGGCGAAAGCCUGAUCCAGCAAUGCCGCGUGAGUGAUGAAGGCCUUAGGGUUGUAAAGCUCUUUUACCCGGGAUGAUAAUGACAGUACCGGGAGAAUAAGCGCCGGCUAACUCCGUG